UACGUAGGUGGCGAGCGUUAUCCGGAAUUACUGGGCGUAAAGCGCACGCAGGCGGCUUUUUAAGUUUGACGUGAAAGCUCCCGGCUUAACUGGGAGAGGUCGUUGAAGACUGGAAGGCUUGAGGCAAUGAGAGGGGUGUAGAAUUCCCGGUGUAGUGGUGGAAUGCGUAGAUAUCGGGGGGAAUACCAGUGGCGAAAGCGGCACCCUAGCGUUGUUCUGACGCUCAUGUGCGAAAGCGUGGGGAGCGAAC
Molecule: ribosomal RNA, 250 nt
Filed under: uncultured bacterium
Lineage: Bacteria
Description: partial 16S ribosomal RNA
Rfam family: Bacterial small subunit ribosomal RNA
Source: RNAcentral